AUAUUUUAAUGUAUUAGCAUGAAAGAUUUUGAUUCUUUAAGAUUUAAUUAAAAAUUAAAAAAUAUAA
This 67-nucleotide transfer RNA is filed under the name Hydropsyche simulans. RNAcentral's name for it is "tRNA-Gln". The record is from RNAcentral. Lineage: Eukaryota; Metazoa; Arthropoda; Insecta; Trichoptera; Hydropsychidae.